GAUGAACGCUGGCGGCGUGCCUAAUACAUGCAAGUCGAGCGAACAGACGAGGAGCUUGCUCCUCUGACGUUAGCGGCGGACGGGUGAGUAACACGUGGAUAACCUACCUAUAAGACUGGGAUAACUUCGGGAAACCGGAGCUAAUACCGCCUAAUAUAUUGAACCGCAUGGUUCAAUAGUGAAAGACGGCUUUGCUGUCACUUAUAGAUGGAUCCGCGCCGCAUUAGCUAGUUGGUAAGGUAACGGCUUACCAAGGCAACGAUGCGUAGCCGACCUGAGAGGGUGAUCGGCCACACUGGAACUGAGACACGGUCCAGACUCCUACGGGAGGCAGCAGUAGGGAAUCUUCCGCAAUGGGCGAAAGCUUGACGGAGCAACGCCGCGUGAGUGAUGAAGGUCUUCGGAUCGUAAAACUCUGUUAUUAGGGAAGAACAAAUGUGUAAGUAACUAUGCACGUCUUGACGGUACCUAAUCAGAAAGCCACGGCUAACUACGUG
RNAcentral lists this ribosomal RNA (497 nucleotides) under uncultured bacterium. Its description in RNAcentral is "partial 16S ribosomal RNA". It matches the Rfam family "Bacterial small subunit ribosomal RNA", at positions 28 to 507 of the family's 1533-position model. The record is from RNAcentral.